Molecule: ribosomal RNA, 253 nt
Filed under: uncultured bacterium
Lineage: Bacteria
Description: partial 16S ribosomal RNA
Rfam family: Bacterial small subunit ribosomal RNA
Source: RNAcentral
UACGUAGGGGGCUAGCGUUGUCCGGAAUCAUUGGGCGUAAAGCGCGUGUAGGCGGUCCGGUAAGUCCGCUGUGAAAGUCGGGGGCUCAACCCUCGGAUGCCGGUGGAUACUGUCGGGCUUGAGUACGGAAGAGGCGAGUGGAAUUCCUGGUGUAGCGGUGAAAUGCGCAGAUAUCAGGAGGAACACCGAUUGCGAAGGCAGCUCGCUGGGACGUAACUGACGCUGAGGAGCGAAAGCGUGGGGAGCGAACAGG